RNAcentral lists this ribosomal RNA (540 nucleotides) under uncultured bacterium. RNAcentral describes it as "bacterial SSU rRNA". It matches the Rfam family "Bacterial small subunit ribosomal RNA", at positions 8 to 524 of the family's 1533-position model. The record is from RNAcentral.
AGAGUUUGAUCAUGGCUCAGAACGAACGCUGGCGGCGUGCCUAACACAUGCAAGUCGAACGAGAAAGGGACUUCGGUCCUGAGUAAAGUGGCGCACGGGUGAGUAACACGUAGGUAACCUGCCUCUAGGAUUGGGAUAACCUGUCGAAAGACGAGCUAAUACCAAAUAAGACCACAGUUUCCUCGGAAGCAGCGGUCAAAGGUAGCCUCUACAUGUAAGCUAUCGCUUAGAGCUGGGCCUGCGUACCAUUAGCUAGUUGGUAGGGUAACGGCCUACCAAGGCUAAGAUGGUUAGCUGGUCUGAGAGGAUGAUCAGCCACACUGGAACUGAGACACGGUCCAGACUCCUACGGGAGGCAGCAGUGGGGAAUAUUGCGCAAUGGGCGAAAGCCUGACGCAGCAACGCCGCGUGAGUGAUGAAGGCCUUCGGGUCGUAAAGCUCUGUCGGAGGGAACGAAUGCUCUUGAGGUUAACAGCCUUGGGAAGUGACGGUACCCUCAAAGGAAGCACCGGCUAACUCUGUGCCAGCAGCCGCGGUAAU